GCCUCACCGCGGCAGCGAGGUUUCAGCCCUGCCCCCUUCAUCCUCAGGCACCCCCAAUGCUAACACUUUUAACCCUCGGGCCGCAUGUUCUCGAAGUCAGAGCACCAACGCUGAGAGGCCAAGGAGCGGUGGUGAACGCCGCCACCCCUCUCAGAUCCGGGGGUGAGAUAGAGAGGUGGGUCACCUGGGAGAGGGAGAACUAGCCCCCGCUCUCGUCACCAUGGCGCCUCCACCGCCGCCGCCACGCCAGGGGCCUCCAUCGAUCUGCACUCGCCGGAUCUGUUCAAGGAGAAUCUGGCCAUUGACUGCCGGUGCUUUCCCUCCCCCGACGAUCCGCCAUGACUUGUGGUAAUUCUUCUAUCCAGCAAGCAGCUCUUCGGUUGGGAGUUGGAGCAGAAUUGGCGGAGCUACAAAGAAAAGCCUGGGCGGGCCAAUCUAAAAAAACACGAAAAAAAUUCAACCCAAGGAAAGGAUGAUGAGCUGCUGCUGAAAAGUCUUCCUCAACUUAAUCUGUAACCAUAGACGUAUUGUGGAUAUUGACUUGAAGAUUCCUCCAUGACCUCCUGGUUAUGCUUUUCUUGAGGUUAGUAUUUUGUCAUGGUCAUGUAGAAUUUUCACUGUAAUGUGAGGCUUGUACUUAGAAUUUGUAAUAGAAGUCUUAUUGUUAUUAUUUGGGAUUCAAAAUAGUCUCUUAACUAUGUGUAUAAUUUUUGGGUUGAUAUAACUAAUGAUCUUUUUAGUCCGAGGAUCCUUGUGAUGCCGAUGAUUUAAUUUAUGGUCGUGAUGGGUAUGACUUUGAUGGCUACGGGCUGCGGGUAUGCAUGUAGUGCAUGUUGCCUUUUUUUUGCUGAAAGCAAAGACUGAUUUCUGGUGCCUGUUUUUUUAAAAGGUAUUUCUCAGGUGGAAUUCACAUAUCAUGGUAUUCCUGUAUCGCGCACAUAUUGUCAUAUCAUGGUAUUCUUAUCUUGCACGCAUAUCGGAUACAUAUUUGGAAGUAGCAAAAUGUACUGGUGGUAUAACUGCAUAUAUACAUGUAUUGUUCAUAUGCAUUGUAUGUUUCUCUAAUGUGUUCUUGUAAUAUAAUUGUUUUACAAGCACACAAACUGAGUUUCAGAUCUUUAUUUUAUAUAUAGGUCUUAGAUUUCAAUUAUAGGUCCUACAUUUUGAUUAAAAACACAAAUGUAGAGUUGUAGGGAUUUUUAGUUCUGGAUUAUUUACCUCUCAUGUCGUGGACUACAAAUAUUGUGGUUGGACGAGAACAUUUUUUUGUUGUAUUUUAAGUCAAUGCAGACUGUUGUAGUUUUGAUAUCAUGAUAUCUGUUUUGUAAACAACCUUCGAUAACCUAGUGUUUUUGCUUGGGUUGGAUAAAAGAUACUUCUGGCGUAUAGCAGAAAACCCUGCUUGAUCGAAUGCUCUUGAUUUGUUUUCUUUUCUGCUGAAGCCUACUAUUUUAUGUUGUGCUUGUUUCCAAAUUCCGUUUGACAUACCUUUACAGUGCGCUGAUUUCCAUAGCUGCUAAACGUUUCCUGUAAUAUACCCUUAUUAUCCUCUAGGCUUGGUAAGAUCGGAUCUCAGCCUAAUGCUAGAGCUCUCUUCAGAUGGUUUCGACAAUUGAGCCUGACUCGGGAUAUCAGUCCUGAAUCUUUAUUUUUUUCUCGUGAAAUACUUACAACUUGGCAACUUGGCACGAGCCGCUAUUGCCUUGCGCUCUUGAAGAUAGUUGGUGAUUUUUCACGUGGGGAUUUCUAACAAGCAAUGACUAUGCCAUCUUUAAAGUUUCUAUUUGUUUUCUAGAUUUGUUUGUAAUCCUCCUGCUGCUGCUGUCUCUCUAAUUUCUAGACUUAUGAGGUUGUUGUGAAUGGUCUGAUUACAAGGGAUGCUACACUGCCUUAUCAGUAUGAUGGUUUAUGAUAUGUUGGCGAGGCUGUGCAAGGUCCAUUGCAUGGCCAUCUAGCAAGAAGUUCUUGUCAACAUCCUGUUGGGAAGGAAAUGCAUAAAGAACCUAGUAUUCGGUUGUCCGCAUCAAUUGGAUGAUUUUGUAAUGGAGGACAUUCCUUGCUAUUUGGAGAUGCUGCAUCUUUAGCUUUCAUUUUGUAAAACUGGAUCUAUGUCGUGUCUUUUGACACUCAACCAACAUGUGUAAUGCACUUAAUUAUCUUUGUUUUUGUAGCAAUCUAGGUGUAGUGACUCAUUAGAACGAAUGAACUAUUUGUAUGUGUGAUGAUCUAAUGUAUGAUGCUAUCAU
Long non-coding RNA from Triticum dicoccoides, 2246 nucleotides. RefSeq lists it as uncharacterized. Lineage: Eukaryota; Viridiplantae; Streptophyta; Magnoliopsida; Poales; Poaceae. The transcript has 5 exons. The record is from RefSeq and is a predicted model, not a curated record.